This 983-nucleotide ribosomal RNA is filed under the name human gut metagenome. RNAcentral describes it as "bacterial LSU rRNA". It matches the Rfam family "Bacterial large subunit ribosomal RNA", at positions 1945 to 2925 of the family's 2925-position model. The record is from RNAcentral.
ACGGUCCUAAGGUAGCGAAAUUCCUUGUCGGGUAAGUUCCGACCCGCACGAAAGGUGUAACGAUUUGGGCACUGUCUCAACGAGGGACCCGGUGAAAUUGAAAUACCUGUGAAGAUGCAGGUUACCCGCGACUGGACAGAAAGACCCCAUGGAGCUUUACUGUAACCUGACAUUGGGUUUUGAUACAUUACGUACAGGAUAGGUGGGAGGCAUGGAAAGCUGGACGCUAGUCUGGCUGGAGCCGACGUUGGGAUACCACCCUUGAUGUAUUGAAAUUCUAACCGCGAGAGUAACGAAAUCCGGGACAGUGUCAGGCGGGCAGUUUGACUGGGGCGGUCGCCUCCGAAAGAGUAACGGAGGCGCCCAAAGGUUCCCUCAGCGCGGCCGGAAAUCGCGCGAAGAGUGUAAAGGCAGAAGGGAGCUUGACUGCGAGUCAAACACGACGAGCAGGUACGAAAGUAGGGCUUAGUGAUCCGGUGGUACCGAGUGGAAGGGCCAUCGCUCAACGGAUAAAAGCUACCCUGGGGAUAACAGGCUAAUCUCUCCCAAGAGUCCAUAUCGACGGGGAGGUUUGGCACCUCGAUGUCGGCUCAUCACAUCCUGGGGCUGAAGUAGGUCCCAAGGGUAUGGCUGUUCGCCAUUUAAAGAGGUACGUGAGCUGGGUUUAAAACGUCGUGAGACAGUUUGGUCCCUAUCUGCCGUGGGCGUUGGAAGAUUGACGGGGGCUGCUCCUAGUACGAGAGGACCGGAGUGGACGCACCUCUGGUGUACCGGUUGUCACGCCAGUGGCAUUGCCGGGUAGCUAAGUGCGGAAGAGAUAACCGCUGAAAGCAUCUAAGCGGGAAACUUGCCUGAAGAUGAGUCUUCCCGGAGGUUGAACCUCCCUCAAGAGUCGUCCGAGACCAGGACGUCGAUAGGUCAGGUGUGUAAGCGCUGUAAGGCGUUGAGCUAACUGAUACUAAUUGCUCGUGAGGCUUGAUCCU